Carya illinoinensis is the source of this 640-nucleotide long non-coding RNA. RefSeq lists it as uncharacterized. NCBI's taxonomy places the organism in Eukaryota, Viridiplantae, Streptophyta, Magnoliopsida, Fagales, Juglandaceae. The transcript is spliced from 3 exons. The record is from RefSeq and is a predicted model, not a curated record.
UUGAAAUUCUCCCCCCACCCAAAAAAAAACCCGCGUCGCCCAACCUCUCACCCAUCCCCACCCCCCUUGCCUAGCCAUGGAUUCAAAGCUUCUGGAUUGCUUAAAAUAAGCCAGUGUGCAACUAUAAAUAUUGGGUGUUGGCUCCCCUCCCCUUUUCGCAUUGGUCCGAGUUACGCAAAUUUGGAUCGUGAAAUCCGAGAGUAAUUACAAAGCGACCUUGGAGUUAACUCUUCCAUCAAUAAAGUGUAUAUUGUGCAUCAUGGUCGAUUAAAAUGUUGAUGGUAGUUUUCUUCUCUUCAGUGAGGUUGAGUUAGCUGGUUUACCUCCAGAUUUCCUUAAGAGUUACGAGAGCAGCAGCUAGAAAGCUACGGAUUUCUUAAGACUCAAGAUAUUCUGCUGUGGUCCAAGGAACAUAUGAUGCAAUAUUCUUCCUUUGCUCUUGUUGACGUAUCAAAUAUUAUUAUUUCAAGCAUUAUUUUUUACUUUAUGAAAACAGCUUGUGCACAUCUCAUGAAUGAAACAAAAAUGGAUCUUUUUGCAAUACGGAAAAGAUUUACCAACACCAUUGAGAAUAAAAAAGAAACUAAAGUUCUAUCUGAUGCAAAGAAAAUAAAUUGCUAAACACCAGGGAUGCUCAUCU